CCCGUCACAUCACGAAAGUGGGUUGUACUAGAAGUCUGCAGGCUGACCCGCAAGGGAGGCAGCGGCCCAAGGUAUGACUCAUGAUUGGGGUGAAGUCGUAACAAGGUACCC
This 111-nucleotide ribosomal RNA is filed under the name uncultured bacterium. RNAcentral's name for it is "partial 16S ribosomal RNA". It matches the Rfam family "Bacterial small subunit ribosomal RNA", at positions 1393 to 1501 of the family's 1533-position model. The record is from RNAcentral.